Molecule: ribosomal RNA, 468 nt
Filed under: uncultured bacterium
Lineage: Bacteria
Description: partial 16S ribosomal RNA
Rfam family: Bacterial small subunit ribosomal RNA
Source: RNAcentral
GACGAACGCUGGCGGCGUGCUUAACACAUGCAAGUCGAACGGAAAGGCCCUGCUUUUGUGGGGUGCUCGAGUGGCGAACGGGUGAGUAACACGUGAGUAACCUGCCCUUGACUUUGGGAUAACUUCAGGAAACUGGGGCUAAUACCGGAUAGGAGCUCCUGCUGCAUGGUGGGGGUUGGAAAGUUUCGGCGGUUGGGGAUGGACUCGCGGCUUAUCAGCUUGUUGGUGGGGUAGUGGCUUACCAAGGCUUUGACGGGUAGCCGGCCUGAGAGGGUGACCGGCCACAUUGGGACUGCGAUACGGCCCAGACUCCUACGGGAGGCAGCAGUGGGGAAUAUUGCACAGUGGGCGGAAGCCUGAUGCAGCAGCGCCGCGUGCGGGAUGACGGCCUUCGGGUUGUAAACCGCUUUCGCCUGUGACGAAGCGUGAGUGACGGUAAUGGGUAAAGAAGCACCGGCUAACUACGUG